GAUGAAGAACGCAGCGAAAUGCGAUACGUAAUGUGAAUUGCAAAUUCAGUGAAUCAUCGAGUCUUUGAACGCACAUUGCGCCCCCUGGUAUUCCGGGGGGCAUGCCUGUUCGAGCGUCAUUGCUGCCCUCAAGCACGGCUUGUGUGUUGGGCCCCGUCCUCCGAUCCCGGGGGACGGGCCCGAAAGGCAGCGGCGGCACCGCGUCCGGUCCUCGAGCGUAUGGGGCUUUGUCACCCGCUCUGUAGGCCCGGCCGGCGCUUGCCGAUCAACCCAAAUUUUUAUCCAGGUUGACCUCGGAUCAGGUAGGGAUACCCGCUGAACUUAAGCAUAUCAAUAAGCGGAGGA
RNAcentral lists this unclassified non-coding RNA (345 nucleotides) under soil metagenome. RNAcentral's name for it is "partial contains 5.8S ribosomal RNA, internal transcribed spacer 2, and large subunit ribosomal RNA". The stretch from base 1 to 119 matches the Rfam family "5.8S ribosomal RNA", at positions 35 to 154 of the family's 154-position model. The record is from RNAcentral.